This 200-nucleotide ribosomal RNA is filed under the name uncultured bacterium. Its description in RNAcentral is "partial 16S ribosomal RNA". It matches the Rfam family "Bacterial small subunit ribosomal RNA", at positions 524 to 723 of the family's 1533-position model. The record is from RNAcentral.
UACAGAGGUCUCAAGCGUUGUUCGGAUUCAUUGGGCGUAAAGGGUGCGCAGGCUGCGUGGUAAGUCGGGUGUGAAAUUUAGGGGCUCAACCCCUAAACUGCAUCUGAUACUGCCAUGCUAGAGGACUGUAGAGGAGAUUGGAAUUCACGGUGUAGCAGUGAAAUGCGUAGAUAUCGUGAGGAAGACCGGUGGCGAAGGCG